RNAcentral lists this ribosomal RNA (673 nucleotides) under Salmonella enterica. RNAcentral's name for it is "partial 23S ribosomal RNA". It matches the Rfam family "Bacterial large subunit ribosomal RNA", at positions 2270 to 2925 of the family's 2925-position model. Lineage: Bacteria; Pseudomonadati; Pseudomonadota; Gammaproteobacteria; Enterobacterales; Enterobacteriaceae. The record is from RNAcentral.
UUGACUGGGGCGGUCUCCUCCUAAAGAGUAACGGAGGAGCACGAAGGUUGGCUAAUCCUGGUCGGACAUCAGGAGGUUAGUGCAAUGGCAUAAGCCAGCUUGACUGCGAGCGUGACGGCGCGAGCAGGUGCGAAAGCAGGUCAUAGUGAUCCGGUGGUUCUGAAUGGAAGGGCCAUCGCUCAACGGAUAAAAGGUACUCCGGGGAUAACAGGCUGAUACCGCCCAAGAGUUCAUAUCGACGGCGGUGUUUGGCACCUCGAUGUCGGCUCAUCACAUCCUGGGGCUGAAGUAGGUCCCAAGGGUAUGGCUGUUCGCCAUUUAAAGUGGUACGCGAGCUGGGUUUAGAACGUCGUGAGACAGUUCGGUCCCUAUCUGCCGUGGGCGCUGGAGAACUGAGGGGGGCUGCUCCUAGUACGAGAGGACCGGAGUGGACGCAUCACUGGUGUUCGGGUUGUCAUGCCAAUGGCACUGCCCGGUAGCUAAAUGCGGAAGAGAUAAGUGCUGAAAGCAUCUAAGCACGAAACUUGCCCCGAGAUGAGUUCUCCCUGAGACUUAAAGUCUCCUGAAGGAACGUUGAAGACGACGACGUUGAUAGGCCGGGUGUGUAAGCGCAGCGAUGCGUUGAGCUAACCGGUACUAAUGAACCGUGAGGCUUAACCUUACAACGCCGAAG